RNAcentral lists this ribosomal RNA (406 nucleotides) under uncultured bacterium. RNAcentral describes it as "partial 16S ribosomal RNA". It matches the Rfam family "Bacterial small subunit ribosomal RNA", at positions 29 to 526 of the family's 1533-position model. The record is from RNAcentral.
AUUGAACGCUGGCGGCAGGCCUAACACAUGCAAGUCGAGCGAGCGGCGGACGGGUGAGUAAUGUCUGGGAAACUGCCUGAGGGAGGGGGAGAACUACUGGAGACGGUAGCUAAUACCGCAUACGAUCAGAUGUGCCCAGAGGGGAUUAGCUCGUUGGUGGGGGAACGGCUCACCCAGGCGACGAUCCCUAGCUGGUCUGAGAGGAUGACCAGCCACACUGGAACUGAGACACGGUCCAGACUCCUACGGGAGGCAGCAGUGGGGAAUAUUGCACAAUGGGCGCAAGCCUGAUGCAGCCAUGCCGCGUGUGUGAAGAAGGCCUUCGGGUUGUAAAGCACUUUCAGCGGGGAGGCGUUACCCGCAGAAGAAGCACCGGCUAACUCCGUGCCAGCAGCCGCGGUAAUAC